This 200-nucleotide ribosomal RNA is filed under the name uncultured organism. Its description in RNAcentral is "partial small subunit ribosomal RNA". It matches the Rfam family "Bacterial small subunit ribosomal RNA", at positions 1184 to 1382 of the family's 1533-position model. The record is from RNAcentral.
GUCAAGUCAUCAUGGCCCUUACGCCCAGGGCUACACACGUGCUACAAUGGCGCUUACAGAGUGUUGCGAGCAGGUGACUGCGAGCCAAUCACAAAAAGAGCGUCUCAGUUCGGAUUGCAGGCUGCAACUCGCCUGCAUGAAGUUGGAAUCGCUAGUAAUCGCGGGUCAGCCACACUACGGUGAAUACGUUCCCGGGCCUU